UAUCAGGUGAGGAAAGUCCGUACAUUCAAGAACAGGCAGCCGGAGAAACUCCGGACGGUGUGAACCGGUGGAUAGGACCACAGAAAUGUAAACUGCCGAUGGGUAGAAAUACCACAGGCGAUGAUGCAACGGUGAGUUAAGAGCUUCACCAGCGAUAUUGAGAAAUAUCGGCUAGGCAACCCCCUGCUGAAUGCAAGAUUGAAAUGAAGGUUAUAAAGGCUGUUCGCCAACUUCAAAGAAAUCGCUAGAAAUUGGAAGUAAUUCCAAUGCCAGACAGAUGAUUGUUUAGAAACAGAACACGGCUUAUGAGCUGCUUU
RNAcentral lists this RNase P RNA (317 nucleotides) under human gut metagenome. RNAcentral's name for it is "Bacterial RNase P class A". It matches the Rfam family "Bacterial RNase P class A", at positions 35 to 362 of the family's 367-position model. From Rfam's summary of the family: Ribonuclease P (RNase P) is a ubiquitous endoribonuclease, found in archaea, bacteria and eukarya as well as chloroplasts and mitochondria. Its best characterised activity is the generation of mature 5'-ends of tRNAs by cleaving the 5'-leader elements of precursor-tRNAs. The record is from RNAcentral.